UUUCCGUAGGUGAACCUGCGGAAGGAUCAUUAACACGAAACCCACGUUUCAAACCAACCUGUGCUCUGUUUAAAGUGGUAGAGUGUAACAACUCUAUUACUUUUUAAAAUUUUUAACCCCUUGUAUCAACAAAACUAAACCUUCAAAAGCUUGAGUGAAAACUCGCUUUAGAUAUUACGAAACUCAGAACAACUCUUAGCAACGGAUAUCUUGGUUCUC
This 219-nucleotide unclassified non-coding RNA is filed under the name soil metagenome. Its description in RNAcentral is "partial contains small subunit ribosomal RNA, internal transcribed spacer 1, and 5.8S ribosomal RNA". The record is from RNAcentral.